UGGGGAAUUUUGGACAAUGGGCGCAAGCCUGAUCCAGCAAUGCCGCGUGCGGGAUGAAGGCCUUCGGGUUGUAAACUGCUUUUGUACGGAGCGAAAAGGUCUGCCCUAAUACGGUGGGCUCAUGACGGUACCGUAAGAAUAAGCACCGGCUAACUACGUGCCAGCAGCCGCGGUAAUACGUAGGGUGCAAGCGUUAAUCGGUAUUACUGGGCGUAAAGCGUGCGCAGGCGGUUAUGCAAGACAGAGGUGAAAUCCCCGGGCUCAACCUGGGAACUGCCUUUGUGACUGCAUAGCUAGAGUACGGUAGAGGAGGAUGGAAUUCCGCGUGUAGCAGUGAAAUGCGUAGAUAUGCGGAGGAACACCAGUGGCGAAGACAGUCUUCUGGUCGAGAACUGACGCUCAGGCACGAAAGCGUGGAGAGCAAACA
RNAcentral lists this ribosomal RNA (427 nucleotides) under uncultured bacterium. Its description in RNAcentral is "bacterial SSU rRNA". It matches the Rfam family "Bacterial small subunit ribosomal RNA", at positions 355 to 774 of the family's 1533-position model. The record is from RNAcentral.